UCUCUCUCUCUCUCUCUCUCUCUCUCUCUCUCUCUCUCUCUCUCUCUCUUCUUCAUCUCCGAUUCUCCAUGUUCAUAUAGUAUCAGAGCAUGGUUCUUCUUCUCAGAUGUAUUUUUUCUCUUCUUGGUUCUUCCGGUUCAGCCUUAUUGAGUUCUCGGUGGUAAUUUCUAGAUUUUUCGAUUUGUUGGGGGUGAUUCUGGAUUUUUUUGAGAAUCGGAGAUGAUUUCAGUUUCUUGUGGAUUGAUGUUGCUUCUUCAAGCGUGGUGUUUAGGGUGAACUUCCGACACCUCUCGUGCUUGAUUCCACCGGUUUCUCUGAAAGCUAGGGUUUUCUCUGAACGAAGCUAGGGUUUUCUCUGCAAGCUAGGGUUUUCUCUGAACCUUUGAAGGCCGUUUCUGCUCCGGUAGCGUAGAAGUCGGGUAACCCUAUUUCACUCUCGAUUAGAGCUUGCAUGUGUUUUUGUUGCUGGAAUAUUUGUUGUAUCAUGUAGUUCAUAGAUAUUGAAUCAAUUUUCUCUCAUCAUUGUUGUUCUAUUUCUGAUGACAAAUAUGAACCCUACUAAUCCCUCACCUAUUGACCCUACAAGUCCUCUCUUUGUUUACUUUUCUGAUGUUCCUGGUAUUUUCCUUGUUCCUAUUCCCUUCUCGGGUAGUGGUUUUGGGGGUUGGAAGAGGAAGAUGAUAGCUGCCUUGUCCGCUAAGAACAAAAUUGAUUUUGUUGAUGGUACCUGUCCUAGACCAAAUACUAAGUUGGCUAAACAGAAAUUAUGGGACAGAUGCAAUAAUAUGGUAAUUUCCUGGUUGACUGCAUCUUUGUCUCCUCAAAUAGCUGAGAAUGUACAAUAUUCUGAGACUGCACAGAGUAUAUAGGCACAACUCGAAGCCAGAUAUGGCACAGCCAAUAGGACCAAAAUUUUUGAACUUAAAAGAGAACUCUCUCACUCUUCUCAAGGACCUCUAGAUAUAGCAUCAUAUUUUAACAAACUCAAAGGGUUGUGGGAUGAGCUAGGAGCAGUAUGUACAAAUCAUGGCCAAAGAUGUAUUUGUCCUGCCAGUUCAUUCUUCUCAAGGACCUCUAGAUAUAGCAUCCAAUUUUAACAAACUCAAAGGAUUAUGGGAUGAGUUAGGAGCAGUAUGCACAAAUCAUGGCCAAAGAUGUAUUUGUGCUGCCAAACCUGG
This 1178-nucleotide long non-coding RNA is filed under the name Nicotiana benthamiana. RNAcentral describes it as "long non-coding RNA (NBEN_LNC030005)". Lineage: Eukaryota; Viridiplantae; Streptophyta; Magnoliopsida; Solanales; Solanaceae. The record is from RNAcentral.